AAGCGCAGUAAUGCGUUAAGCUAACCAGUACUAAUUGCCCGUGCGGCUUGACCCU
Molecule: ribosomal RNA, 55 nt
Filed under: Mitsuaria sp. PDC51
Lineage: Bacteria; Pseudomonadati; Pseudomonadota; Betaproteobacteria; Burkholderiales; Sphaerotilaceae
Description: partial 23S rRNA. Bacterial LSU
Source: RNAcentral